UACAGAGGUCCCAAGCGUUACUGAGAAUCACUGGGUUUAAAGGGUGCGUAGGUGGUCCGUUAAGUUCGUUGUGAAAUCCCUGGGCUCAACCCAGGAACGGCUUCGAAUACUGGCGGACUUGAGGCCGGUAGGGGUCACUGGAACUGACGGUGGAGCGGUGAAAUGCGUAGAUAUCGUCAGGAACGCCGAUGGUGAAGACAGGUGACUGGGCCGGUUCUGACACUGAGGCACGAAAGCGUGGGGAGCGAACGGG
RNAcentral lists this ribosomal RNA (253 nucleotides) under uncultured bacterium. Its description in RNAcentral is "partial 16S ribosomal RNA". It matches the Rfam family "Bacterial small subunit ribosomal RNA", at positions 524 to 776 of the family's 1533-position model. The record is from RNAcentral.